This 534-nucleotide ribosomal RNA is filed under the name uncultured bacterium. Its description in RNAcentral is "bacterial SSU rRNA". It matches the Rfam family "Bacterial small subunit ribosomal RNA", at positions 542 to 1077 of the family's 1533-position model. The record is from RNAcentral.
UGUCCGGAAUUAUUGGGCGUAAAGAGCUCGUAGGUCGUUUGUUACGUCGGAUGUGAAAACCUGAGGCUCAACCUCAGGCCUGCAUUCGAUACGGGCAAACUAGAGUUUGGUAGGGGAGACUGGAAUUCCUGGUGUAGCGGUGGAAUGCGCAGAUAUCAGGAGGAACACCAAUGGCGAAGGCAGGUCUCUGGGCCAAUACUGACACUGAGGAGCGAAAGUCUGGGGAGCAAACAGGAUUAGAUACCCUGGUAGUCCAGACCGUAAACGGUGGGCACUAGUUGUGGGAACCUUCCACGGUUUCUGCGACGCAGCUAACGCAUUAAGUGCCCCGCCUGGGGAGUACGAUCGCAAGAUUAAAACUCAAAGGAAUUGACGGGGCCCCGCACAAGCAGCGGAGCAUGCGGCUUAAUUCGACGCAACGCGAAGAACCUUAGCAAGGCUUGACAUAUAGGGAAAAGUGGCAGAGAUGUCGUGUCCGCAAGGGCUCUAUAGAGGUGGUGCAUGGUUGUCGUCAGCUCGUGUCGUGAGAUGUUG